This 438-nucleotide ribosomal RNA is filed under the name uncultured bacterium. Its description in RNAcentral is "bacterial SSU rRNA". It matches the Rfam family "Bacterial small subunit ribosomal RNA", at positions 958 to 1398 of the family's 1533-position model. The record is from RNAcentral.
AACGCGAAGAACCUUACCCAGGUUUGAAAUACAGAGCGCGGCACCAGAAAUGGUGUCUCCCGCAAGGGGUUUUGUACAGGUGCUGCAUGGCUGUCGUCAGCUCGUGCCGUGAGGUGUUGGGUUAAGUCCCGCAACGAGCGCAACCCUUAUCAUUAGUUGCCAACACGCGAGGUGGGGACUCUAGUGAGACUGCCCAGGUUAACUGGGAGGAAGGUGAGGAUGACGUCAAGUCCGCAUGGCCUUUAUAUCUGGGGCUACACACGUGCUACAAUGGUCGGUACAGAAGGCAGCGAAGUCGCGAGAUGGAGCAAAUCCGUAAAGCCGAUCUCAGUUCAGAUUGUAGUCUGCAACUCGACUACAUGAAGUUGGAAUUGCUAGUAAUGACGUGUCAGCAACAACGUCGUGAAUACGUUCCCGGGCCUUGUACACACCGCUGUA